UUUUGAGUUGUGGUGACUGUUUCUAAUCAGUUUUGAUUUUUAUCUGAAUCUCAUCUACAAGCCCUACCUCAAAACUUAUUUAAGCAUUUCCAGCUUGCGAUUUUCAGUAAUGAUGAAGCUUUUAAGAGACCGACUAUCUUUCAGAUACUUUUCAGACUCUCACACUAGGGCUAUGCAGUAGAAGAUAUUUUUGGACAAGAAUUACCCUACUCCUCAGAGCAAAGGAGGCAUUCUGAAAGACGGAGUGAAAGUUACAUCGAGUGUGCCUGCCUCUCCUGCCUCUCCUUCCACCUCCUCUAACUCUCCUGCUUCUACCACCCCUGAGACAGCAAGACCAACCUCUCGUCAGCCUAUUCAAUGUGAAGAAAAUAAGGAGGAAGACCUUAUGAGGACCUACGUCCAAUCAAUAAAUAACUUGCGGGAGGUUCUGGAGUCCCAUGGUUAUUAAUCUCUGGAGGCUUCACCAUCCUUUGUGGGUUCCUUUAAUUAUCUCCAUUGCCUCAAAAGCUGUUGGGUUCUCAGGAAGCAGAUGAUGAGAUGGAGCUUGUGGUGCAAGAUAUUUACUCGGGUAAAAGGAAAAGAGAGGAAGAAAGAAGGAGC
Molecule: long non-coding RNA, 600 nt
Filed under: Homo sapiens (human)
Lineage: Eukaryota; Metazoa; Chordata; Mammalia; Primates; Hominidae
Description: HSALNT0074499
Source: RNAcentral